Molecule: ribosomal RNA, 300 nt
Filed under: uncultured Thioflavicoccus sp.
Lineage: Bacteria; Pseudomonadati; Pseudomonadota; Gammaproteobacteria; Chromatiales; Chromatiaceae
Description: bacterial SSU rRNA
Rfam family: Bacterial small subunit ribosomal RNA
Source: RNAcentral
GCUAAUGACGUGGCAGAGGCCUGGGUAAGAGGGAGGAUCCAAGGGGUGUCCGGAUUGACUGGGGUGAAAGGGUGCGCAGGCGGGCUGGUAAGUCUGGGGUGAAAUCUCGCCGCUCAACUGCGAAACUGCCUUAGAUACUAUCAGUCUUGAAUAAGCGAGAGAUCCGUGGAAUUCCGAGUGUAGCAGUGAAAUGUGUAGAUAUUCGGAAGAACACCAGCGGCGAAGGCAGCGGGUUGGCGCUUUAUUGACGCUCAGGCACGAAAGCAUGGGGAUCAAACAGGAUUAGAUACCCGGGUAGUC